RNAcentral lists this ribosomal RNA (788 nucleotides) under uncultured Rhodospirillaceae bacterium. Its description in RNAcentral is "bacterial SSU rRNA". It matches the Rfam family "Bacterial small subunit ribosomal RNA", at positions 54 to 873 of the family's 1533-position model. Lineage: Bacteria; Pseudomonadati; Pseudomonadota; Alphaproteobacteria; Rhodospirillales; Rhodospirillaceae. The record is from RNAcentral.
CAUGCAAGUCGAACGAAGGCCCGGGGCUUGCCCCGGUCACCUUAGUGGCGAACGGGUGAGUAACGCGUGGGAACCUGCCCUGUGGUGGGGAAUAACAGUUGGAAACGACUGCUAAUACCGCAUACGCUCUACGGAGGAAAGGCUUCGGCCGCCGUUGGAGGGUCCCGCGUCCGAUUAGCUUGUUGGUGAGGUAACGGCUCACCAAGGCGACGAUCGGUAGCUGGUCUGAGAGGAUGAUCAGCCACACUGGAACUGAGACACGGUCCAGACUCCUACGGGAGGCAGCAGUGGGGAAUAUUGGACAAUGGGGGAAACCCUGAUCCAGCAAUGCCGCGUGAGUGAAGAAGGCCUUAGGGUUGUAAAACUCUUUCACCCGUGAAGAUGAUGACGGUAGCGGGAGAAGAAGCUCCGGCUAACUCCGUGCCAGCAGCCGCGGUAAUACGGAGGGGGCUAGCGUUGCUCGGAAUUACUGGGCGUAAAGCGCGCGUAGGCGGCGCACCAAGUGAGGCGUGAAAUCCCCGGGCUUAACCCGGGAACUGCGUUUCAUACUGGUGUGCUAGAAUCCGAGAGAGGGUAGUGGAAUUCCCAGUGUAGAGGUGAAAUUCGUAGAUAUUGGGAAGAACACCAGUGGCGAAGGCGGCUACCUGGCUCGGUAUUGACGCUGAGGUGCGAAAGCGUGGGGAGCGAACAGGAUUAGAUACCCUGGUAGUCCACGCCGUAAACGAUGAGUGCUAGUUGUCGGGCAGCAUGCUGUUCGGUGACGCAGCUAACGCGUUAAGCACUCCGCC